This 426-nucleotide ribosomal RNA is filed under the name uncultured Bacilli bacterium. RNAcentral's name for it is "bacterial SSU rRNA". It matches the Rfam family "Bacterial small subunit ribosomal RNA", at positions 356 to 774 of the family's 1533-position model. The record is from RNAcentral. Lineage: Bacteria; Bacillati; Bacillota; Bacilli.
GGGGAAUAUUGGACAAUGGGCGAAAGCCUGAUCCAGCCAUGCCGCGUGUGUGAAGAAGGUCUUCGGAUUGUAAAGCACUUUAAGUUGGGAGGAAGGGCUGCAAGUUAAUACCUUGUAGUUUUGACGUUACCAACAGAAUAAGCACCGGCUAACUUCGUGCCAGCAGCCGCGGUAAUACGUAGGUGGCAAGCGUUGUCCGGAAUUAUUGGGCGUAAAGCGCGCGCAGGUGGUUUCUUAAGUCUGAUGUGAAAGCCCACGGCUUAACCGUGGAGGGUCAUUGGAAACUGGGAGACUGGAGUGCAGAAGAGGAAAGUGGAAUUCCAAGUGUAGCGGUGAAAUGCGUAGAGAUUUGGAGGAACACCAGUGGCGAAGGCGACUUUCUGGUCUGCAACUGACGCUGAGGCGCGAAAGCGUGGGGAGCAAACA